GGGGUGUGGAAAGUCACUGGUGGAAAUAUU
This 30-nucleotide non-coding RNA is filed under the name Homo sapiens (human). The record is from RNAcentral. Lineage: Eukaryota; Metazoa; Chordata; Mammalia; Primates; Hominidae.